This 253-nucleotide unclassified non-coding RNA is filed under the name uncultured Cyclobacteriaceae bacterium. RNAcentral describes it as "contains 16S-23S intergenic spacer region". It matches the Rfam family "Bacterial small subunit ribosomal RNA", at positions 524 to 776 of the family's 1533-position model. The record is from RNAcentral. Lineage: Bacteria; Pseudomonadati; Bacteroidota; Cytophagia; Cytophagales; Cyclobacteriaceae.
UACGAAGGGGGCUAGCGUUGUCCGGAUUUAUUGGGUUUAAAGGGUACGUAGGCGGAGGCUUAAGUCAGUGGUGAAAGCCUGCGGCUCAACCGUAGGAUUGCCAUUGAUACUGAGUUUCUUGAGUGCGGUAGAGGUGGGCAGAAUUCAUGGUGUAGCGGUGAAAUGCAUAGAUACCAUGAGGAAUACCGAUAGGGAAGCCAGCUCACUAGACCGUAACUGACGCUGAGGUACGAAAGCAUGGGGAGCAAACAGG